UUCACCAAAAUUACAAAUGAAAACUGCUAUACAUCAUUUAACAAGAAAAUACCAUAUAAUUUUAAUGUUUAAAUGGAUCAUUUUUUUUUCUCUCAUUGUACAAGUAAUUUAAAUACAAUUAAUUUAACGGGACCAAAUUAUGAAAAUUGACCCCAGUUAAUUUUUGGCUCCCCAAACAAGUUGGCUUAGCUCCUAACAAGCUCAUCACUGCAAAAUUUGAGGAUCAUGUCAUUCAAUUAAUUUCAUGAUGCAGGAGCAUAUUCUUGUAUUG
This 271-nucleotide unclassified non-coding RNA is filed under the name Hevea brasiliensis (rubber tree). The record is from RNAcentral. Lineage: Eukaryota; Viridiplantae; Streptophyta; Magnoliopsida; Malpighiales; Euphorbiaceae.